Puntigrus tetrazona (Sumatra barb) is the source of this 217-nucleotide long non-coding RNA. RefSeq lists it as uncharacterized. Lineage: Eukaryota; Metazoa; Chordata; Actinopteri; Cypriniformes; Cyprinidae. The record is from RefSeq and is a predicted model, not a curated record. The transcript has 3 exons.
AUGGAGCACAGGCUGUGCUGUCACGUCCUCGAGAUUCCCAAAUCUAUUCUGAGCAACUCGUUUGAGAGUCUGUCAGCGACGACUAAUGACCAUCAGGACCUGCAGAGCACGCUGAUGCGUUUGAUGGCCACUAACUCUCGUCUGGAGCAGAAGCUGGACUCGUGUAUGUGGACUCAGAAGGUUCUUCUGGGUCUGGUGUCGUUUCUGUUGGCCCUCC